RNAcentral lists this ribosomal RNA (428 nucleotides) under uncultured bacterium. Its description in RNAcentral is "partial 16S ribosomal RNA". It matches the Rfam family "Bacterial small subunit ribosomal RNA", at positions 354 to 796 of the family's 1533-position model. The record is from RNAcentral.
GUGGGGAAUAUUGGGCAAUGGGCGAAAGCCUGACCCAGCAACGCCGCGUGAGGGAAGAAGGUUUUCGGAUUGUAAACCUCUGUCCUAUGGGAAGAAGGAAGUGACGGUACCAUAGGAGGAAGCCCCGGCUAACUACGUGCCAGCAGCCGCGGUAAUACGUAGGGGGCGAGCGUUGUCCGGAAUUACUGGGCGUAAAGGGUGCGCAGGUGGCCUGACAAGUCAGAUGUGAAAUACCGAUGCUUAACGUCGGGGCUGCAUUUGAAACUAUGAGGCUGGAGUGCAGGAGAGGGAAGCGGAAUUCCUAGUGUAGCGGUGAAAUGCAUAGAUAUGCGGAAGAACACCAAUGGCGAAGGCAGCCCUCUGGGACAUGACUGACGCUCAUGCACGAAAGCGUGGGGAGCAAACAGGAUUAGAAACCCGUGUAGUCC